UUCUGGCUCAGGAUGAACGCUGGCGGCGUGCCUAAUACAUGCAAGUCGUACGAGGGAAGUCCAGCUUGCUGGACGGAACGAGUGGCGAACGGGUGAGUAAUACGUAAGCAACCUGCCUGCAAGGACUGGGAUAACACCUGGAAACGGGCGCUAAUACCGGAUAGGUAACAAAGGGGCAUCCCUAUGUUAUUAAAGGUUAGAAACACAAGCAGAUGGGCUUACGGUGCAUUAGCUAGUUGGUGAGGUAACGGCCCACCAAGGCGAUGAUGCAUAGCCGGCCUGAGAGGGUGAACGGCCACAUUGGGACUGAGACACGGCCCAGACUCCUACGGGAGGCAGCAGUAGGGAAUUUUCGGCAAUGGACGAAAGUCUGACCGAGCAACGCCGCGUGAAGUGAAGAAGGUUUUCGGAUUGUAAAGCUACUGUUGUAAGGGAAGAACAGCACGGAAAGAAUCCGUGAAUGACGGUACCUUACCAGAAAGCCACGGCUAACUACGUGCCAGCAGCUGC
Molecule: ribosomal RNA, 510 nt
Filed under: uncultured bacterium
Lineage: Bacteria
Description: bacterial SSU rRNA
Rfam family: Bacterial small subunit ribosomal RNA
Source: RNAcentral